ACUCCUGCGGGAGGCAGCAGUGGGGAAUAUUGGACAAUGGGCGCAAGCCUGAUCCAGCCAUGCCGCGUGAGUGAUGAAGGCCCUAGGGUUGUAAAGCUCUUUCACCGGUGAAGAUAAUGACGGUAACCGGAGAAGAAGCCCCGGCUAACUUCGUGCCAGCAGCCGCGGUAAUACGAAGGGGGCUAGCGUUGUUCGGAUUUACUGGGCGUAAAGCGCACGUAGGCGGACUAUUAAGUCAGGGGUGAAAUCCCGGGGCUCAACCCCGGAACUGCCUUUGAUACUGGUAGUCUUGAGUUCGAGAGAGGUGAGUGGAAUUCCGAGUGUAGAGGUGAAAUUCGUAGAUAUUCGGAGGAACACCAGUGGCGAAGGCGGCUCACUGGCUCGAUACUGACGCUGAGGUGCGAAAGCGUGGGGAGCAAACAGGAUUAGAUACCCUAGUAGUCC
Molecule: ribosomal RNA, 444 nt
Filed under: uncultured organism
Description: partial 16S ribosomal RNA
Rfam family: Bacterial small subunit ribosomal RNA
Source: RNAcentral